This 497-nucleotide ribosomal RNA is filed under the name uncultured bacterium. RNAcentral describes it as "partial 16S ribosomal RNA". It matches the Rfam family "Bacterial small subunit ribosomal RNA", at positions 28 to 507 of the family's 1533-position model. The record is from RNAcentral.
GAUGAACGCUGGCGGCGUGCCUAAUACAUGCAAGUCGAGCGAACAGAUGAGGAGCUUGCUCCUCUGACGUUAGCGGCGGACGGGUGAGUAACACGUGGAUAACCUACCUAUAAGACUGGGAUAACUUCGGGAAACCGGAGCUAAUACCGGAUAAUAUAUUGAACCGCAUGGUUCAAUAGUGAAAGACGGUUUUGCUGUCACUUAUAGAUGGAUCCGCGCCGCAUUAGCUAGUUGGUAAGGUAACGGCUUACCAAGGCAACGAUGCGUAGCCGACCUGAGAGGGUGAUCGGCCACACUGGAACUGAGACACGGUCCAGACUCCUACGGGAGGCAGCAGUAUGGAAUCUUCCGCAAUGGGCGAAAGCCUGACGGAGAAACGCCGCGUGAGUGAUGAAGGUCUUCGGAUCGUAAAACUCUGUUAUUAGGGAAGAACAAAUGCGUAAGUAACUAUGCACGUCUUGACGGUACCUAAUCAGAAAGCCACGGCUAACUACGUG